Long non-coding RNA from Sinocyclocheilus rhinocerous, 271 nucleotides. RefSeq lists it as uncharacterized. The record is from RefSeq and is a predicted model, not a curated record. The transcript has 3 exons. NCBI's taxonomy places the organism in Eukaryota, Metazoa, Chordata, Actinopteri, Cypriniformes, Cyprinidae.
GGCGCUGACCGACAACUUCCAGAAUCCAGACAUAUGGGCCCUGUGGGGUCACUUGCAUUACGAGAAGGGCGAUUACGCUCAGGCUCAGAGCUGCUAUGAACGGACGCUGGAUUCUGUGCUGGACACCUCAGACACACACUCCAUCUACCUUUGCUUGGGCUCCAUCUAUCUGCAGAAAGGAGAAUAUGAAAAAGCCAAACCUGUAUUCCUGCGUGCCUGCAAACGCUCGCCGUCAUGUCUUACUUGGCUCAGACUGGGAAUCGCCUGCUAU